AUAUUGUGACCCUCAGGUGAAUAAUGGUGUCAGAGGAGAAGGAGCGAGAUGUGGCGUGGAAGGAGCUGCGCAGGAGGAAGAGGAUGGAGGAGGUGGAGGAGCUGACCACUGCGGGACACAACGCUCUGUAAUCGGGACAAACCCAGGAGGCGCUACCGUUUCAGAGGAUCAAAGGAGACUGAAGGCAGCCCGCCAGGUUUCCACGCAGCGGCUUAGGACUAAUUCUACAUCUGGACCUUAAGGACGGCUCUGAAGGACCAUGUGCACGGUGGGAAUGGAGCAUGGGACAGACCUUUGCCAAUCAAAGGAAACCGGUGGAGAGGGGUCACCUGCCAGCCCCAAGUAUUGGAGACAGUGAUGGCAGCCAAGGACUAAUGCCACCUCUAUGAGGAGGUAAUCUACCUGCUGGACUCCCUGCUUCGGACAUUCCUACAGAAGGGUGUGUAUGGCAUCACCACACCAUAUGAUGUGUUGACUGCAAGGGUGAAAGAACUCCUGGGACUUAUCAAAGCAAUUUUGAAAAAAACAAACAAAAAAGUGGAUUGCCUGAUAUGUAAAUGAACUGUGGAAGUUGUUGAGAUUGUUUAAAUCACAUUGUGGCAUUGGAGUUUAUGCUGUGGCAAUAAGUACCAAAAACAGUCCAAAAGUCGGAUACAGGCAACAUGUUUGCAUUAACUUUUCCACAAGUUUAGGUUUUGACCAGAUUCUGGACUCUCUCGUAUUCAGACACUAAAACAAUAAAAUAUUUUUGCAGAAGUGCAUAAAAGCUCGAUCAAUAUGCACUUCCAGUGGUGCAGAAGUGACAUUCACCUCCGGGUUAAUGUAAUCUUUAUACAAUGUUUUACGUGAUAGCGUUUCAACCAAUGAGCAUCCAGAUUGACAAAUCAAGUAAUAAUACAUUUUAUUGUCACUGCAUACAUGUAAGAUGUUUGCUUUAAAUUGUUCAGAGGUUGUUUUGACUGCUUAAAGCCAAACUAUGACGAGUCUAUUGAAACAACUGUUUGUGAUACUGCCUUUUGUGUUAUAACCAACAAACAACCCUAACUACACUUAUAAAUUGUUUUACAUAUGUGUACUAUUGUUGAAUUGCAGUCGGAAGACUUAUUUGAAAAUAAACUAAACCUAAACCUAAACUUAAGACAAACAGCACUGGAGGUAUAACCUUGGUUGGUACAUUAUUUGAUUUGGGUACUAGAAUUAAAUUCACAGAAGUAUUAACCAAUAUUAAUGGUUCCAUUUGUUUGGUUAAAUUUAACCAAUCUGGUUGGUGUCCAACCGAUCUAUU
RNAcentral lists this long non-coding RNA (1285 nucleotides) under Neogobius melanostomus (round goby). RNAcentral's name for it is "lncRNA (ENSNMLG00000020703.1)". Lineage: Eukaryota; Metazoa; Chordata; Actinopteri; Gobiiformes; Gobiidae. The record is from RNAcentral.